AGCGGCGGAUGGGUGAGUAACACGUGGGGAACCUGCCCCUAAGUCUGGGAUACCAUUUGGAAACAGGUGCUAAUACCGGAUAAUAAAGCAGAUCGCAUGAUCAGCUUUUGAAAGGCGGCGUAAGCUGUCGCUAAGGGAUAGCCCCGCGGUGCAUUAGCUAGUUGGUAAGGUAACGGCUUACCAAGGCGACGAUGCAUAGCCGAGUUGAGAGACUGAUCGGCCACAUUGGGACUGAGACACGGCCCAAACUCCUACGGGAGGCAGCAGUAGGGAAUCUUCCACAAUGGACGCAAGUCUGAUGGAGCAACGCCGCGUGAGUGAAGAAGGUUUUCGGAUCGUAAAGCUCUGUUGUUGGUGAAGAAGGAUAGAGGUAGUAACUGGCCUUUAUUUGACGGUAAUCAACCAGAAAGUCACGGCUAACUACGUGCCAGCAGCCGCGGUAAUACGUAGGUGGCAAGCGUUGUCCGGAUUUAUUGGGCGUAAAGCGAGCGCAGGCGGAAAAAUAAGUCUAAUGUGAAAGCCCUCGGCUUAACCGAGGAACUGCAUCGGAAACUGUUUUUCUUGAGUGCAGAAGAGGAGAGUGGAACUCCAUGUGUAGCGGUGGAAUGCGUAGAUAUAUGGAAGAACACCAGUGGCGAAAGGCGGCUCUCUGGUCUGCAACUGACGCUGAGGCUCGAAAGCAUGGUAGUGAACAGGAUUAGAUACCCUGGUAGUCCAUGCCGUAAACGAUGAGUGCUAAGUGU
RNAcentral lists this ribosomal RNA (743 nucleotides) under uncultured bacterium. RNAcentral describes it as "bacterial SSU rRNA". It matches the Rfam family "Bacterial small subunit ribosomal RNA", at positions 94 to 823 of the family's 1533-position model. The record is from RNAcentral.